This 1753-nucleotide long non-coding RNA is filed under the name Schizosaccharomyces pombe (fission yeast). The record is from RNAcentral. Lineage: Eukaryota; Fungi; Ascomycota; Schizosaccharomycetes; Schizosaccharomycetales; Schizosaccharomycetaceae.
AGUUCAAAAGGGGAAAAUAUAUUCAUUUACUCCUCAAUCUUUUCGGCAGCAGUGUAAAGUUGCUCACGCUUUUCUUCAACAGCCUUGGCUCUGCGUUGACGAGCAGCCUUGGCACGAGCACGACGAGCAUCUUGUUGCUCUUGGAUCAACUUAGUACGGUUGGCCUCAGCCUUGGCACGUUGAAUAUGCUCAAUUAAAGCACGCUUGUGUUUAAAGGUGUUACCCUUAGCUUCCAAAUAAAGAGUGUGAUAAAGAUGCUUAUCAAUCUUGCCAGACUCACGAUACUUGCGAAGAAGACGACGCAAAACACGUUGACGGCGCAUCCAAACAACAGCAGAGGGCAUACGAGCUUCGGCAGUACCCUUACGCUUACCGUAACCGGUGUGACGACCAAGACGCUUGGCGGCAUGGGUCUUACGAAUGCGGAAGCGAGAAUGCAUCAAGUUAGGCUUGCGAAUAACCAAACCGUCCUUAAUCAACUUACGGACGUUUUGACGGCUGUUGGCAUUGCUGAUUUCGCUGAUUUCAUUAGGAUCCAUCCAAACUUUGCGUUUGCCGCAUUUAAGGACGGAUGCAGCAAGUCGCUUCUGCGUUCUAAGAUUGGCCAUUUUUCUUGCUGUUUUUGGUGGACGGACAAUCUUUCUUAAACAGGCGUGGUCAAUUCUUUUGUUUUUGGGGCAGUCACGUUUAGGGUAGGGUUGGGUGAUAAUUCAGUACUCUGCUAUGAGGAACAAUGACAACGAAUAAAGAAUAAAAAAAGUAUUUAGAAAAUUUAUUAACAUUACCAAAUGCUUUGACUGAAGUAAAUAUGAUUAUUAAAAUUAUCCCUUACAUUCGUUGAAUCAGUUACCGAAUAUGCACAUUGUGUUUCAUUAUUUUAGAGGAUGCAAACUGAAAGGUAUAGCAGAUACUCGUAAUACAGUAUAUUGAGGCUCAUUAACCUUGAAAAGGCACUUAAUAAUCCAAUCUAAGUAAUAAUAAUAAUAUAAAUAAAAUUAUAAAACUAUGGUUAAACUCAUCAUUUAGAAUUCAAUCAUGUACGAUAAAGUGAAACCUUUCUCUAAAUAUUAAAGAGAAACUUUAAUAUUCUGCCGUCGGAAAGGGUUAUCAAAAUAGUAUCUUCAUACAGUCCUAUAUCUUGAACCUUACAUUCUUUUUCGUAAUCAGAUACGGGCUUAUUGUGGAUGUUUGUGCAAGUUAGCAUUAGCGGAGAUACGAUUGAUUGAUAAUUUGUAUCAUGAAGAUCCCAAACACAAAUAUCGGCACAGUUUUUGGAUACAGAAACAAUUCUUCCACAAGAAAAUAGUUUAGAUAUCUGAACACCACAAACGUGUCCUAAGAGACGACCUAAAAAUUUUAUCCGUAAUUCGUUGUUAGUUGAAUAAAGCCUCUGCAAAAUUAAAGAAUUGUCCGGAUGAGAUGUCAAAAUAUAGGACCCAUACAUAAAAAUAGCAGAAGCAGGUUGCUGAGAGUACUCAAUGUCUUUGUUGUCAUGCAAUGCAAGCCUACUACUUUUGACGCAAUAUUCGUUGAAAACAAAUUCUUGCAAACUAACGGUCCAUCCACCAGAUAGAACAUAAUCAUUAAAAACUACAUGAACAACUUCAUAUCCUUCUUUUGAUUGCUGAAAGUGAAUAGCAACCUGUUUUUCAAUACUUGAAACAUGAUAUUUACCAAGUACUUUCAAUUUGGUUCCAGCUUGAUGAGAAUGCUGAAGUAUAUAUAAAUUGUUGUCGUUUGUCAAUCCACAAAU